GCUCCACAAUGCAAUAGUUGGCCAUUUGCAGAGGAGGAGCGUCAUAAAGAGAUGCUUCGCCAAAGACCGGUCUCCCCCUGAGAGACUGACAUCCAUAGGGCCCCUAAAAAUCAGCUGGUAUGUCUGCCGCUGCCAGUAUUAGGACUUUCUGGUGAGCCAAAACCUCACUAAGGAGGUCACAUCUGUGAGAGCUGACAAGCAAUUACAGACCCUGCAGAUUUCAGUCUGAGACCAGUGCCGCAGGUCAGGGG
This is a long non-coding RNA of Gymnogyps californianus (California condor), 251 nucleotides long. RefSeq lists it as uncharacterized. NCBI's taxonomy places the organism in Eukaryota, Metazoa, Chordata, Aves, Accipitriformes, Cathartidae. The record is from RefSeq and is a predicted model, not a curated record. The transcript is spliced from 3 exons.